AUGCUCACUUCGGCAGCACACAUACUAAAAUUGGAAGGAUACAGAGAUUAGCAUGGCCCCAGUGCAAGGCGACACACAAAUUCAUGAAGACUUCCAUAUUUUU
Sciurus carolinensis (gray squirrel) is the source of this 103-nucleotide small nuclear RNA. NCBI's taxonomy places the organism in Eukaryota, Metazoa, Chordata, Mammalia, Rodentia, Sciuridae. The record is from RefSeq and is a predicted model, not a curated record.